AGAGGGAGUAAAGAAUGUUGAACUGCCUCCUUGACUGUAGUGGCAGCUCAACUAUUUUACCAUCAAGAGAUCAGAAACUUCACCUAAGACUCAACCACCUACCGACAGCUUGUGUACGAGCAGCCUGUUGACCAUCACAAGCUGUCCAAGCCUCCAUUCAGAGUGAUGGCAUCUCAUGCUCAGGUGUUUCUGCUGCUGAUGGUGUCUCAGCUCCUCCUCUCAGUAACUGUUGUCAGUGCUCCUUCAAAGGAAGAUAUUCUAAAACAAAUGAAAAGUGCUGUAGAGUUUUUUGUUGCACACCUAAAUGAGAUCAGA
Molecule: long non-coding RNA, 315 nt
Organism: Betta splendens (Siamese fighting fish)
Lineage: Eukaryota; Metazoa; Chordata; Actinopteri; Anabantiformes; Osphronemidae
Exons: 3
Source: RefSeq, a predicted model, not a curated record